CGCAGCCGCGGUAAUUCCAGCUCCAAUAGCGUAUAUUAAAGUUGUUGCAGUUAAAAGCUCGUAGUUGAAUUUCGGGGUCAAUAUGUUGGUCGUGCCUUGGUACGUACUGGCAUUAUCGAUUCCUACCUUCUGAAGAACCUCGAUGUCAUUAAUUUGGUGUCUUGGGGAAUCAGGACUGUUACUUUGAAAAAUUAGAGCGUUUAAAGCGGGCUCACGCUUGAAUACAUUAGCAUGGAAUAAUGAAAUAGGACGUUUGAUUCUAUUUUGUUGGUUUCUAGGAUCGACGUAAUGAUUAAUAGGGAUAGUUGGGGGCAUUAGUAUUCAAUUGUCAGAGGUGAAAUUCUUGGAUUUAUUGAAGACUAACUACUGCGAAAGCAUUUGCCAAGGAUGUUUUCAUUAAUCAAGAACGAAAGUUAGGGGAUCGAAGACGAUCAGAUACCGUCGUAGUCUCAACCAUAAACUAUGCCGACUAGGGAUCGGAUGAUGUUAAUUUUUAAUGACUCA
Molecule: ribosomal RNA, 504 nt
Filed under: uncultured Glomeraceae
Lineage: Eukaryota; Fungi; Glomeromycota; Glomeromycetes; Glomerales; Glomeraceae
Description: SSU rRNA
Rfam family: Eukaryotic small subunit ribosomal RNA
Source: RNAcentral